UACAGAGGUCUCAAGCGUUGUUCGGAUUCAUUGGGCGUAAAGGGUGCGUAGGUGGCGGGGUAAGUCAGGUGUGAAAUUUCGGAGCUUAACUCCGAAACUGCAUUUGAUACUGCCUUGCUUGAGGACUGGAGAGGAGACUGGAAUUCACGGUGUAGCAGUGAAAUGCGUAGAGAUCGUGAGGAAGACCAGUGGCGAAGGCGGGUCUCUGGACAGUUCCUGACGCUGAGGCACGAAGGCCAGGGGAGCAAACGGG
This 253-nucleotide ribosomal RNA is filed under the name uncultured bacterium. RNAcentral describes it as "partial 16S ribosomal RNA". It matches the Rfam family "Bacterial small subunit ribosomal RNA", at positions 524 to 776 of the family's 1533-position model. The record is from RNAcentral.